Caenorhabditis elegans is the source of this 206-nucleotide non-coding RNA. Lineage: Eukaryota; Metazoa; Nematoda; Chromadorea; Rhabditida; Rhabditidae. The record is from Ensembl.
AAAAACUGAAAUAAUAUCAUCGGACAAUUCAUAUACUAUAAGCAGAGCAGAUUCAUGCUCGCAGAGCGCCGCAUAUUCAACCAACCAACCGAAAUCGUCUAAUUUCUUCCGCUCUGGUCUCCAUCAUCUAUUUUUCUACACAUACACAUACACACAAAACUCACUUGUUUCUUCUAUCGCUUCUUUCCCAAUGUCUUGUCUUUUUU